GGCCGUGUAGCUCAAUGGCAGAGCGUCUGACUACGAUUAACAGCAGUUAAUUUUCUGUAAUCAGAAGGUCGCAGGUUCGACCCCUGUCUCGGUCA
This 95-nucleotide transfer RNA is filed under the name Metarhizium majus ARSEF 297. It matches the Rfam family "tRNA". From Rfam's summary of the family: Transfer RNA (tRNA) molecules are approximately 80 nucleotides in length. Their secondary structure includes four short double-helical elements and three loops (D, anti-codon, and T loops). The record is from Rfam by way of RNAcentral. Lineage: Eukaryota; Fungi; Ascomycota; Sordariomycetes; Hypocreales; Clavicipitaceae.